GUCGUUAUAGUAUAGUGGUGAGUAUCCCCGCCUAUCACGCGGGAGACCUGGGUUUGAUCCCUGGCAAUGGCG
RNAcentral lists this transfer RNA (72 nucleotides) under Ipomoea nil (Japanese morning glory). It matches the Rfam family "tRNA". Rfam says of the family: Transfer RNA (tRNA) molecules are approximately 80 nucleotides in length. Their secondary structure includes four short double-helical elements and three loops (D, anti-codon, and T loops). The record is from Rfam by way of RNAcentral. Lineage: Eukaryota; Viridiplantae; Streptophyta; Magnoliopsida; Solanales; Convolvulaceae.